CAUGCCGGAAGCCGUAGGGACUCAGCGCAGAGUCCUCGUCAUAGUGACGCUGGUAGGAAUCAUAAUAUUCAUGCCCAUUCCGACCUCUGUUCAGCCAAUAGGUGACGUCAUCUUCAAAUUUCUGGAGGAAAAGAGCACCACAGAGAAUGGAUUCAAGGACCCCCACGCCCUGUAGACCACGUCUCACCUCUGCGUCUUCUCUGUGAUGGCUUUUCUUCAGUGAUUAACAGCUCUACCCGACAGUCACCCUUUAUUAUCGGAUUCUGUACUCAGGUGCUGCUGAAGGUGCAAGAAGACCAGUGUUCUCCCACAUGACUCACAGGAUUGUGCGAUUUGACAGUGCUUGCAGACCCUUCCCUAAUUCUACCGUUAGCCCCAGUGACUCCACUGGAGAAUGGAAUACCAGGGAAGGAACGAACCACAUACAAGGAUGCAAGUAACAGUACCUGUUUUUUGGUU
Long non-coding RNA from Suricata suricatta (meerkat), 459 nucleotides. RefSeq lists it as uncharacterized. NCBI's taxonomy places the organism in Eukaryota, Metazoa, Chordata, Mammalia, Carnivora, Herpestidae. The record is from RefSeq and is a predicted model, not a curated record. The transcript has 2 exons.